UACAGAGGUCCCAAGCGUUGUUCGGAUUCAUUGGGCGUAAAGGGUGCGUAGGUGGCAUGGUAAGUCGGGUGUGAAAUCUCCACGCUCAACGUGGAGGGGUCAGCUGAUACUGCUGUGACUUGAGUCCGGUAGGGGAGUGUGGAAUUCCCGGUGUAGCGGUGAAAUGCGCAGAUAUCGGGAGGAACACCAGUAGCGAAGGCGGCACUCUGGGCCGGUACUGACGCUGAGGAGCGAAAGCGUGGGGAGCAAACAGGG
This 255-nucleotide ribosomal RNA is filed under the name uncultured bacterium. Its description in RNAcentral is "partial 16S ribosomal RNA". It matches the Rfam family "Bacterial small subunit ribosomal RNA", at positions 524 to 777 of the family's 1533-position model. The record is from RNAcentral.